Molecule: unclassified non-coding RNA, 341 nt
Filed under: Hevea brasiliensis (rubber tree)
Lineage: Eukaryota; Viridiplantae; Streptophyta; Magnoliopsida; Malpighiales; Euphorbiaceae
Source: RNAcentral
UUUCAUUUUCUCGAGAAAAUUCUUAGUUUUCCUGGAAAUACUUCUCAGAUGAGAGCCGUUAAUGGAGACUCUAGACCUUCCAACAACGCUCUCGACACCAUAAACGCUGCCGCCUCUGCGAUCGCUUACGCCGAGAAUCGUGCUCCUCAAGACACGGUUCAGAAGGGAAGAUGGGGAAGCUGCUGGAGUGUAUACUGGUGUUUUGGACAUCAUAGACACAAAAAGAGAAUUGGGCAUGCAGACCUUGUUCCUGAAACAUCUGCUCCUGGAAAUGAUACUUCUGUAGCUGAAAAUCCAACCCAAGAACCUUCCAUCACACUUCCCUUUGUUGCACCUCCCUC